This 1815-nucleotide long non-coding RNA is filed under the name Sus scrofa (pig). Its description in RNAcentral is "lncRNA (ENSSSCG00035053552.1)". The record is from RNAcentral. Lineage: Eukaryota; Metazoa; Chordata; Mammalia; Artiodactyla; Suidae.
AGAGUCAAUGGAGAAAAUGCCUGGGUACAUGGGCAUUUAGCAGACCAGGAAAGGACUGAAAAGCAGAUCUGAACAGCAGAAAGUGUGGAGAAGAGAUUGGAGUGAGGCAAUACAUGGGAGCAAGACUGCAGGCUGGACGAUGGAUCAGGAAUUCAUUGCAAUAAUCAGGCCCAGGGAUAACCAGGACCUACUGACAGCUACUACAUGAGUGAGCUCGGAAGUCGGUCCUAACUCAGCUGUAGCCUUCUGGAGACUGCAGUCCCUCUGGACAGCUUAACUGCAACUUCAUGAGAGACCUUGAACCUAAACUACCAGGGACCCAAAUUUCUGACCCACAGAAACUAUGAGACAAAGUUUUUUGCUAUAAGUUGGUAAAUUUGUUAUUUACCAAUUUUUGGGGGUAAUUUGUUAUACAUACAUGGAUAACUAAUUCAUCAGAUUAAUGAAAGUGAAGGGAAGGUGGUGAUCGGUUUCCAGGACCCAGCACAGUUGGAUAACUUUCUCCAGCAGCCCUAGACAACUCCAGACAAUAUGCUUGUCGACUUUAUAUGCCAUUGAUAUUAUGCGAUGUCCAAUAAUAUCUUUUUUUAAUAGUAUUUUUUAUUUUUUUCUUUCUAAUUUUGCUGUUUUAAGGCUGUGGUUCCCAGGUUAGGGGUUGAAUCAGAGCUGUAGCUGCCAGCCUAAGCCAUAGCCACAGAAACACAGGAUCCAAGCCGCGUCUGCGACCUAUACCACAGCUCACGGCAACGCCGGAUCCUUAACCCACUGAGUGAGGCCAGGGACUGAACCCACAUCCUCAUGGACCCUAGUAGGGUUCGUUAACCACUGAGCCACGAAGGGAACUCCUUCGAUAGUAUCUUUUGAUAAAAUAAUUUUGCCAAAAUCUUAUUUAACUUUCUUAAUGAGCUAUUAACCAUUAACACUAUGUCUGACUUUAAAAGCUUUUUGACAAGAAUGUGUCCUGUCACUGUUUUGACUUUAAAAAGCAUAGCUUGAAGUUCCCAUCAUGGCACGCAGAAAUGAAUCUGACUAGGAACCAUAAGGUUGUGAGUUUGAUCCCUGGCCUAUGCUCAGUGGGUUAAGGAUCCAGCGUUACCGUGAGCAAUGGUGUAGUUCGCAGAGGCGGCUCAGAUCUGGCGUUGCUAUGGCUGUGCUGUAGGCUGGCAGUUGUAGCUCCGAUUAGACCCCUAGUCUGGGAACCUCCAUGUGCCACUAGUGUGGCCCUAAAAAGCAAAAAAAAAAAAAAAAAAAUUUAAAUAAGUAAAAAGCAUAACUUUAUUUUUUUAUUUUUAUUUUAUUUUUUAAGGGCUGCACAUGUGGCAUAUGGAAGUUCUCAGGCUAGGGGUCAAAUAGGAGCUGCCGCUGCAGGCCUAUGCCACAGCCACAGCCACACCAGAUCCAAGCCUUACCUGUGGCCUAAACCACAGCUCAUGGCAAUGCUGGAUCCUUAACCCACAGAGCGAGGCCUGGGCUCGAACCCGAAACAUCAUGGUUACUAGUUGGAUUGGUUUCCACUUGUUCCCAUUGGUUCUGGGAACUCCAGAUAGCUUUAUAGUUUUGAUCACUUCUCUUACUUUUAGGAAGAAAUUUUAUCAAAGUUAUAUCAGUAAACAUUAUUUUGUGGGAUCUUCUUCCUCCAGAAAAAAUAUUUUUUGUGGUUACUAGAUUGGCCACCGAACUUUUUUCAAAAAUGGCACUAAAAUUUCAUUUGUUUGACUAAGUUUCAUAAUCUAUGUAAUGAAAUAGAUGUAAUGUACUGGGGGCCAGGGGCAAAUGGACUACCAGUUUAAUAAAAACAUACAUCUUAGAGCCUCA